CGUGUAGGCGGCUCGGAAAGUCGGAUGUGAAAGCCCUGGGCUCAACCUAGGAAGUGCAUUCGAAACUCCCGAGCUGGAGUCCUGGAGAGGAAGGUGGAAUUCUCGGUGUAGAGGUGAAAUUCGUAGAUAUCGAGAGGAACACCGGUGGCGAAGGCGGCCUUCUGGACAGUGACUGACGCUGAGACGCGAAAGCGUGGGGAGCAAACA
RNAcentral lists this ribosomal RNA (207 nucleotides) under uncultured delta proteobacterium. Its description in RNAcentral is "partial 16S ribosomal RNA". It matches the Rfam family "Bacterial small subunit ribosomal RNA", at positions 568 to 774 of the family's 1533-position model. Lineage: Bacteria; Deltaproteobacteria. The record is from RNAcentral.